ACGCUAUAAUGUUUAAAGCUGAUGAGAGUGAUGCCGGUAUUGGCUUCUACAUCAAUCCACAGUAGGCCGGCUUCAACUUAUGUUUAUAAUGGACCUAAAAUUUACUCAACAAGACAGUUUUGUUUAUGUUAAUUACCUCAUUUUGUCAAACCAAAACGUAUAUUGGAAUCCAGUUUGAUGGUAUAAUAGCAAUAAACGUACUGGUUAAAAGUGCAUUCGACUAGCGUAUUUGCUUACCGGCUUCUGACGUAUUGUUUUCUAUUUACAACGCUAAUAAUUGAUUUUUUUUCAGGAAAGAGGACGAUUGUGACAUAACAGUUUUAAAAGCUGGGGACAAAAUUUGUUUUCCAUAUGGGGACAAAAUUUGUUUUCCACACCUUAUAUCGCACCACGCCAUAGUAGAGCCCCUAGAGCUCUAUGAAAGGGAGGCUGCACAUGCUGUCAAAAUAGCACUUAUAGGGAAAAUGGAAGUCGGCAAAACAAGCUUAAUUAACGCUCUUCUUGGCCGUAAACAAUACGAACAAGGAGAGCUACGAGAGCUGGGAACACAGUUUGUCUUUGGCCUUGAUGACUUGCGAGACUUGUGUGAUGAAAGUUUUGUUUUAAGAAAUAAACGCACGAAUUGUUCUGUUUGUUUGCCAAAUUCGAUACGUCAACAUAUAUUCCUUAUUGACACUCACGAACCGCACCUGUACGACUUCGGUAAACUGGCUAUCGCUAUCAUAAAUGCCAGAAAAAGGAAAAAACCAGACGUUCACAAAACUAAUAGUUUGUGGUAUAAGUUGUGAUACAUUUAUAUUUUUGACUUUUAUUUGACUUUUCUUCUUACAGUGUAAAAAACAAUUUUAAAAGCAUUUCCAUGGUUUGUAGUAAACAUUAUUUAUUAUUAUUCACGUAGUUCAUUGAAAGAUGUGCAUUAUACUUUGCACUCAUCUGUUGUUUUUUUAUGUUGUGUGCAAAAAUACAUCCACUUAGUUGGUUAACACAUAUUGAUGUUUCCAUAUGUAUGUGCGUUCUUAAACAAAAUGUGUAAAUAUAUGUAUGAAAAAUUGAUUCCAAAAUAAAAAACAAAGAUUCCUAACGGUCCCAUAAAGAUACUUCUUAAUGAUGUAUAAUACGUUAAAAUUAUUAACAUUUGUUUAGCUGCUAAGCUUAUAUAAUGUCUGUUUUUUUAUUAUAUUAUUAUUUGUAGGCUAAUGUAUCAGCUGUGAUCAACAUGUUUGCAUAGUGUCAUAUAAAGUGUUAUUAUAUUAGUAACAUUUUCACUUGCUACAAUGUGACGUCACUAUAUCAAAUUCUUGUGUUUAAGUUUAUUCAUCUUACCGAUACAGACAACGGAUAAAAACAGAUGCAGUAUUUAAAUCAAUAUACUGAACGAAUAUGUUUAUACGGAAAGGUAUUUCAUUUAAAUGUUCUGUGGCAAUUAAUACGAUACUAAUUUUAAUGUAUAUAGGUUUAAUAUCAAUCUUCACAAUGGCAUUGUAAAAUAUGAUUGAUGGCUAUUUCUGUGCUUUUUAUUAUCGUUUUAUUUUCAUUUACUUUGUUUCGCUACAAUGUCUUUAUUUUAGUUAUAUACUGAUACUAAGAACUUUUGAACUUGUGAACAUGGUCAUUUCCGAAGUAGCAUAAUGGUAUUACAUAUCAGUAAGAAAAACAAUCAGAAAGGCCUAGUAUUUAUUUCAUGAUUGCUAAAAGGUAAUAUCUCAUUCAUUUAAUAUACGCUAAUUUUAUAUUCGUAUGUCGCCCAUGUGUACAUAAAUGUAUUAAAUUUAUAUAAUUCUAAAAUAAAAUGAAAUACUUUAGUUAUUUUAGAAAUAAAUUAAUGUGAACUUAUUAUUUAUUUACAUACGCAUUAAUUAAUUCAUCUUAUCAUUUAUAAAGUACAUUUAUUCAAAAGUACUAUUGUUUUAUGAAAUGUAUUCUUUUAUGUAAAUAUGUUUUAGAAAAACAGUUUGUCCAUUUCAAAUAUACUUGUGAAUUAUAAUGUAUGUUUCAACUUAAAUGCAUUUUAACUCUUAAACUUUCCUUAACAUACUAAGGUUGUACUUACUUAGUAUGUAUGGUUAUUCGCAAUUUUGACGUUGUAUUGUUAGACUGUAUUUUGAACGAAUCAACUUAAAUGAAGUGUGUAUAUGUUGUAAUUAAAAGUUAAAAUGUAUUAAGUAAUUUCAUUAAAAUAUUCAAUACUGUU
Dreissena polymorpha is the source of this 2191-nucleotide long non-coding RNA. RefSeq lists it as uncharacterized. Lineage: Eukaryota; Metazoa; Mollusca; Bivalvia; Myida; Dreissenidae. The transcript has 2 exons. The record is from RefSeq and is a predicted model, not a curated record.